UACGGGGGGGGCAAGCGUUGUUCGGAAUUACUGGGCGUAAAGGGCUCGUAGGCGGCCAACUAAGUCGGACGUGAAAUCCCCAGGCUCAACCUGGGAACUGCGUCUGAUACUGGCGGGCUGGAAUCCGGGAGAGGGAUGUGGAAUUCCUGGUGUAGCGGUGAAAUGCGCAGAUAUCGGGAGGAACACCGGUGGCGAAGGCGGCUCUCUGGACCUGUCCUGACGCUGAGGCGCGAAAGCUAGGGGAGCGAACAGG
RNAcentral lists this ribosomal RNA (253 nucleotides) under uncultured bacterium. RNAcentral's name for it is "partial 16S ribosomal RNA". It matches the Rfam family "Bacterial small subunit ribosomal RNA", at positions 524 to 776 of the family's 1533-position model. The record is from RNAcentral.